GAUGAACGCUGGCGGCGUGCCUAAUACAUGCAAGUCGAGCGAACAGACGAGGAGCUUGCUCCUUCGACGUUAGCGGCGGACGGGUGAGUAACACGUAGGUAACCUACCUAUAAGACUGGGAUAACUUCGGGAAACCGGAGCUAAUACCGGAUAAUAUUUCGAACCGCAUGGUUCGAUAGUGAAAGAUGGCUUUGCUAUCACUUAUAGAUGGACCUGCGCCGUAUUAGCUAGUUGGUAAGGUAACGGCUUACCAAGGCAACGAUACGUAGCCGACCUGAGAGUGGGAGCGGCAACAGUGGAAGUGAGACGGCGUCCAGACUCCUAAGGGAGGCGCGAUGGGGGAUUCUUCCACAAGGGGGAAACGCCUGACGGAGCAACGCCGCGUGAGUAAUGAGGGUUUACGUACCGAAAAACUCUUUUAUUGGGAAAAAACAAACUUGAAAGAACCUGUGCGCGUUUGGACGGUACCUAAUAAAAAACCCAGGCCACCCUCCGCC
Molecule: ribosomal RNA, 497 nt
Filed under: uncultured bacterium
Lineage: Bacteria
Description: partial 16S ribosomal RNA
Rfam family: Bacterial small subunit ribosomal RNA
Source: RNAcentral